This 1455-nucleotide ribosomal RNA is filed under the name Streptococcus thermophilus. Its description in RNAcentral is "bacterial SSU rRNA". It matches the Rfam family "Bacterial small subunit ribosomal RNA". The record is from RNAcentral. Lineage: Bacteria; Bacillati; Bacillota; Bacilli; Lactobacillales; Streptococcaceae.
GACGAACGCUGGCGGCGUGCCUAAUACAUGCAAGUAGAACGCUGAAGAGAGGAGCUUGCUCUUCUUGGAUGAGUUGCGAACGGGUGAGUAACGCGUAGGUAACCUGCCUUGUAGCGGGGGAUAACUAUUGGAAACGAUAGCUAAUACCGCAUAACAAUGGAUGACACAUGUCAUUUAUUUGAAAGGGGCAAUUGCUCCACUACAAGAUGGACCUGCGUUGUAUUAGCUAGUAGGUGAGGUAAUGGCUCACCUAGGCGACGAUACAUAGCCGACCUGAGAGGGUGAUCGGCCACACUGGGACUGAGACACGGCCCAGACUCCUACGGGAGGCAGCAGUAGGGAAUCUUCGGCAAUGGGGGCAAUCCUGACCGAGCAACGCCGCGUGAGUGAAGAAGGUUUUCGGAUCGUAAAGCUCUGUUGUAAGUCAAGAACGGGUGUGAGAGUGGAAAGUUCACACUGUGACGGUAGCUUACCAGAAAGGGACGGCUAACUACGUGCCAGCAGCCGCGGUAAUACGUAGGUCCCGAGCGUUGUCCGGAUUUAUUGGGCGUAAAGCGAGCGCAGGCGGUUUGAUAAGUCUGAAGUUAAAGGCUGUGGCUCAACCAUAGUUCGCUUUGGAAACUGUCAAACUUGAGUGCAGAAGGGGAGAGUGGAAUUCCAUGUGUAGCGGUGAAAUGCGUAGAUAUAUGGAGGAACACCGGUGGCGAAAGCGGCUCUCUGGUCUGUAACUGACGCUGAGGCUCGAAAGCGUGGGGAGCGAACAGGAUUAGAUACCCUGGUAGUCCACGCCGUAAACGAUGAGUGCUAGGUGUUGGAUCCUUUCCGGGAUUCAGUGCCGCAGCUAACGCAUUAAGCACUCCGCCUGGGGAGUACGACCGCAAGGUUGAAACUCAAAGGAAUUGACGGGGGCCCGCACAAGCGGUGGAGCAUGUGGUUUAAUUCGAAGCAACGCGAAGAACCUUACCAGGUCUUGACAUCCCGAUGCUAUUUCUAGAGAUAGAAAGUUACUUCGGUACAUCGGUGACAGGUGGUGCAUGGUUGUCGUCAGCUCGUGUCGUGAGAUGUUGGGUUAAGUCCCGCAACGAGCGCAACCCCUAUUGUUAGUUGCCAUCAUUCAGUUGGGCACUCUAGCGAGACUGCCGGUAAUAAACCGGAGGAAGGUGGGGAUGACGUCAAAUCAUCAUGCCCCUUAUGACCUGGGCUACACACGUGCUACAAUGGUUGGUACAACGAGUUGCGAGUCGGUGACGGCGAGCUAAUCUCUUAAAGCCAAUCUCAGUUCGGAUUGUAGGCUGCAACUCGCCUACAUGAAGUCGGAAUCGCUAGUAAUCGCGGAUCAGCACGCCGCGGUGAAUACGUUCCCGGGCCUUGUACACACCGCCCGUCACACCACGAGAGUUUGUAACACCCGAAGUCGGUGAGGUAACCUUUUGGAGCCAGCCGCCUAAGGUGGAC